This is a non-coding RNA of Ataeniobius toweri, 74 nucleotides long. Lineage: Eukaryota; Metazoa; Chordata; Actinopteri; Cyprinodontiformes; Goodeidae. The record is from the annotation of a GenBank genome assembly.
UGCACGGUGGUGCAGUUUGUAGCACUGUUGUCUUUCACAGAGAAGUUCCUGGGUUCGACUCCCAGCCUGUGGAG